AUUGAACGCUGGCGGCAGGCCUAACACAUGCAAGUCGAGCGAGCGGCGGACGGGUGAGUAAUGUAUGGGGACUGCCCGCUAGAGGGGGAUAACUACUGGAAACGGUGGCUCAUACCGCAUACUGUCGGAUCACCCAUAGGGGAUUAGCUAGUAGGUAAGGUAAUGGCUUACCUAGUCGACGAUCCCUAGCUGUUCUGAGAGGAUGAUCAGCCAAACUGGGACUGAGACACGGCCCAGACUCCUACGGAGGCAGCAGUGGGGAAUAUUGCACAAUGGGCGCAAGCCUGAUGCAGCCAUGCCGCGUGUAUGAAGAAGGCCCUAGGGUUGUAAAGUACUUUCAGUCGGGAGGCGUUACCGACAGAAGAAGCACCGGCUAACUCCGUGCCAGCUGCCGCGGUAAUUC
This 403-nucleotide ribosomal RNA is filed under the name uncultured bacterium. RNAcentral's name for it is "partial 16S ribosomal RNA". It matches the Rfam family "Bacterial small subunit ribosomal RNA", at positions 30 to 526 of the family's 1533-position model. The record is from RNAcentral.